GACGAACGCUGGCGGCGUGCUUAACACAUGCAAGUCGAACGGUAAGGCUCCAGCUUGCUGGGGUACACGAGUGGCGAACGGGUGAGUAACACGUGGGUGACCUGCCCUGCACUUCGGGAUAAGCCUGGGAAACUGGGUCUAAUACCGGAUAGGACCGCACCGUGAGGGUGUGGUGGAAAGUUUUUUCGGUGUGGGAUGGGCCCGCGGCCUAUCAGCUUGUUGGUGGGGUAAUGGCCUACCAAGGCGGCGACGGGUAGCCGGCCUGAGAGGGUGGACGGCCACAUUGGGACUGAGACACGGCCCAGACUCCUACGGGAGGCAGCAGUGGGGAAUAUUGCACAAUGGGCGGAAGCCUGAUGCAGCGACGCCGCGUGGGGGAUGACGGCCUUCGGGUUGUAAACUCCUUUCACCAUCGACGAAGGGUUUCUGACGGUAGAUGGAGAAGAAGCACCGGCUAACUACGUGCCAGCAGCCGCGGUAAUACGUAGGGUGCGAGCGUUGUCCGGAAUUACUGGGCGUAAAGAGUUCGUAGGUGGUUUGUCGCGUCGUCUGUGAAAUUCCGGGGCUUAACUCCGGGCGUGCAGGCGAUACGGGCAUAACUUGAGUACUGUAGGGGAGACUGGAAUUCCUGGUGUAGCGGUGAAAUGCGCAGAUAUCAGGAGGAACACCGGCGGCGAAGGCGGGUCUCUGGGCAGUAACUGACGCUGAGGAGCGAAAGCAUGGGGAGCGAACAGGAUUAGAUACCCUGGUAGUCCAUGCCGUAAACGGUGGGCGCUAGGUGUGGGUUUCCUUCCACGGGAUCCGUGCCGUAGCUAACGCAUUAAGCGCCCCGCCUGGGGAGUACGGCCGCAAGGCUAAAACUCAAAGGAAUUGACGGGGGCCCGCACAAGCGGCGGAGCAUGUGGAUUAAUUCGAUGCAACGCGAAGAACCUUACCUGGGCUUGACAUAUACAGGAUCGCGCCAGAGAUGGUGUUUCCCUUGUGGCUUGUAUACAGGUGGUGCAUGGUUGUCGUCAGCUCGUGUCGUGAGAUGUUGGGUUAAGUCCCGCAACGAGCGCAACCCUUGUCUUAUGUUGCCAGCACGUUGUGGUGGGGACUCGUAAGAAACUGCCGGGGUUAACUCGGAGGAAGGUGGGGAUGACGUCAAAUCAUCAUGCCCCUUAUGUCCAGGGCUUCACACAUGCUACAAUGGUCGGUACAGUGGGUUGCCAGUCCGUGAGGGCGAGCUAAUCCCGCAAAGCCGGUCUCAGUUCGGAUCGGGGUCUGCAACUCGACCCCGUGAAGUCGGAGUCGCUAGUAAUCGCAGAUCAGCAACGCUGCGGUGAAUACGUUCCCGGGCCU
Molecule: ribosomal RNA, 1341 nt
Filed under: uncultured bacterium
Lineage: Bacteria
Description: 16S ribosomal RNA
Rfam family: Bacterial small subunit ribosomal RNA
Source: RNAcentral